This is a non-coding RNA of Xyrichtys novacula (pearly razorfish), 468 nucleotides long. The record is from the annotation of a GenBank genome assembly. NCBI's taxonomy places the organism in Eukaryota, Metazoa, Chordata, Actinopteri, Labriformes, Labridae.
UCCUCCAGAGUCCGGGCCAAAGACUGAGUGAGCUUCAGCGCGCAGGGGCUGGGGUCUUUACAAUCAGAGAGAGAGCAGCUGCGUGAGGCAGGAUGUGUGGAUGGAAGCGACGCGAGGGCCUGUGCGCUAAAGACGAAUUCAAGGCGAAGAAAGCAAAAGCAUCAGACUCAUUUGAGACGAUGAUGCUGCCGGGUUUUAUUUUGCAUGUUUGACUUUAAUACCAAGAAAUAUUUGUCAACGAUAAAAUCUAAACCUUUAAAAGUUCUUGUACAAUUUUGAAAAGUUUGGCACAACAAAAAGAGUCCAAAAAACAAACAAAAAAAACUUAGUGUGUCACAGUCUUUCGUGCGUAAAAACAAGCAUGUAUUGGUAAAUGGCGUUUUAGUUCCACUUUUAAAUAUUUUCCUUUCUAACAUUAAGUUGUUUUAACUCAUAGUUAAAAAAACUGUUCUUUAGUCAGUGAUGUUU